Molecule: non-coding RNA, 108 nt
Filed under: Candidatus Brocadia
Lineage: Bacteria; Pseudomonadati; Planctomycetota; Candidatus Brocadiia; Candidatus Brocadiales; Candidatus Brocadiaceae
Also listed under: 1 other name
Description: c-di-GMP sequence
Rfam family: c-di-GMP-I riboswitch aptamer
About the family: GEMM was predicted in a large-scale screen for bacterial structured RNA regulatory elements. Genes associated with GEMM are involved in a diverse array of functions, including chemotaxis regulation, signal transduction, secretion and chitin.
Source: RNAcentral
UCACGAUAAAGGCAAACCCUGAGCGAUCACAGGACGCAAAGCAAAGGGUCUUGUUAAGCCGUUUAAACAGUUUAAACGGCUUUGUGGGAAGACAGCCUUACUGCCGAA